Molecule: long non-coding RNA, 394 nt
Organism: Lepisosteus oculatus (spotted gar)
Lineage: Eukaryota; Metazoa; Chordata; Actinopteri; Semionotiformes; Lepisosteidae
Source: RefSeq, a predicted model, not a curated record
UGAUGUCCGCUAAACGUUUUACGAGCUCCGAAAGUGGGACAAAGAGGUUCAGUCACUAAGUUAUUAAAAUUAUCUUAAAUUUUUUUUCUUCUGUUAGACGGGUCUGAAUCUACAAGAAGCUACGACAAAAGAAUACGCCACCACCGAAAACAACAAUGGAUCAUUACGCUGGAUAUCACAAGGCUAUACUAACGGAGUCUAUACCGUGUAAAUCUGAUUUACCUUUUGCUGUGCCGGCGUCAAAGGUUUAGCCUCCAUGCUCACUGAAAGCAGAGUCAUCAAUAGUCCACAAGCCACCAAAUGCGAGAUAUUCAUUUCUGCUCAGUGGCGAACUCGAAGACUGGGUUCCUUCUGGUUACAAUAAAAUCUUCGGAUCGAGGUCGGUUCUCAGCAA